RNAcentral lists this non-coding RNA (149 nucleotides) under Oryzias latipes (Japanese medaka). RNAcentral's name for it is "Eukaryotic large subunit ribosomal RNA". It matches the Rfam family "Eukaryotic large subunit ribosomal RNA", at positions 2831 to 2984 of the family's 3401-position model. Lineage: Eukaryota; Metazoa; Chordata; Actinopteri; Beloniformes; Adrianichthyidae. The record is from Rfam by way of RNAcentral.
UGGGUUGUAGUGACAUUCAUAGCGACGUCGCUUUUAGAUCCUUCGAUGUCGGCUCUUCCUAUCAUUGUGAAGCAGAAUUCACCAAGCUUUGGAUUGUUCACCCACUAAUUGGGAACGUGAGCUGGGUUUAGACUGUCGUGAGACAGGUU